Molecule: non-coding RNA, 482 nt
Organism: Ceratotherium simum simum (southern white rhinoceros)
Lineage: Eukaryota; Metazoa; Chordata; Mammalia; Perissodactyla; Rhinocerotidae
Source: RefSeq, a predicted model, not a curated record
UCUAAUUCAGAGAGUGGAAGAAAUUGUGUGCAAAGAUGGAAGAUGGGAGUCAAUACCACGCUGUGUGGAUGCAUGAGUAAUUGAUCAGAAGAAAUCAUGUAAAACAUGAUACAAUUAUGAUGGAAAUAUGAGAAAAAAAGUUACUCUAAAGCAGAGGAUACUGUUGAAUUUAUGUGUAAACGUGGAUAUCGUAAAAAGACACCGCCCAAAACAUUUCGAGCAACCUGUCAGGAAAGGAAAUUGUUGUAUCCCACCUGUGGAUAGAGCGAUGGUUAAAAUGCAAUCAUAAAACUCACAUAUGUACAUUUAUUCAGAAUUUUUCAUUAUUAACCCAAUUCUUCUCAGUUUAUUUCUUCAAGUAUUGUUUAACUCAUUUUUACUCUUAAAUCUGAAUGUGUGUUAAAUAUUAUGUGGACGAUGUGAUUAUAAUGUGAGAGAUCAAUGAAUCACUUCUACAAGCACCUCAUUAAAACUUGGCAAAC